UUGCAGAAUAAAAAAACCCUUCACCUGGCUGUGGUCAGUAAUCCUCCGGUCCGGACUGUGACAGCUCUUUAAACUGUUUCUCUGUCGGCACAUGAACAACAGUUUGUGCCUUUUUUAAACCAAACAUCAUCAUUAUUGUAAUAUAAUCAUCAGACUGUCAGACAAACUGUCGUUAGCUUCAGUCUCCGGUUAACCGUUUAACCGGUUACAGCUCGUUAGCCUGUUAGCUCGUUAGCCUGCUAGCCGUCUCCUUUUGUCUCUCCAGCAGGUUAGCUCGCAGGCUUUCACAUCUUCUCUGGAUUAGCUGGUUAUUCCGCUUUUUGGUUUAAUUUGUUUUAUUUCGCCUGACAGAAGCUCAGCACACCAAGAUAGGCGGCUUGGGAACCAAGAUGUCCAACCGACCUGUGUGCAGAGAAGCAAGUCACGCCGGGAGCUGGUACUCUGCCUCGGGAUCCCAGCUGAACGCUCAACUAGAAGGCUGGCUGUCCAAAGCCGAGUCCUCCAUCAGACCUGCUCGAGCCAUCAUAGCACCGCAUGCCGGGUACACCUACUGUGGCGCUUGUGCAGCACACGCCUACAAGCAGGUCGAUCCCUCUGUUACUCGUAGGGUGUUCAUCCUGGGACCUUCACACCACGUGCCCCUCUCCCGCUGUGCCCUGUCGCCCGCAGACGUCUACAGAACGCCUCUCUACGACCUGAGAAUCGACCAGAAGGUUUACUCCGACCUCUGGAAAACCGGGUUGUUCGAGCGGAUGAGCAUCCAGACAGAUGAAGACGAGCACAGUAUCGAGAUGCACUUGCCUUACACUGCUAAAGCCAUGGAGAGCCACAAAGACGAGUUCAGCAUCGUCCCUGUGCUGGUGGGCGCCCUGAGCGAGUCCAGGGAACAGGAGUACGGGAAACUGCUCAGCAAAUACCUGGCCGACCCCUCCAACCUUUUCAUCAUCUCCUCCGACUUCUGCCACUGGGGUCAGCGGUUCCGCUACACGUACUACGAUGAGGCUCAGGGGGAGAUCUACAGGUCCAUUGAACAUCUGGAUAGAAUGGGGAUGGGCAUUAUAGAACAGCUGGACCCGAUGUCUUUCACCAACUACUUGAAGAAGUACCGCAACACCAUCUGUGGGCGCCACCCCAUCGGAGUGCUGCUAAAUGCCGUGGCCGAGCUGAGGAAGUCGGGAUUAGAAAUGAACUUCUCGUUCCUGAACUACGCCCAGUCGAGUGAGUGCAGGAACUGGCAGGACAGCUCUGUGAGCUACGCUGCCGGGGCGCUCAUCGUCCAUUGAGGUCGACCGUCGCAGGGGGGCAAAGCAAUGCCGCGGCCCUGCCCUUACUAUCUCUCGCCAUAACACCCCCUUCCCCCCCUCUCUCUCUCUCUUAGCCCCGCCCACUUCCCCGUUACGCCCACUUUUUGCAGGAAGGACCUAGAUGCUCAAAGCCAUAUCUCUCUCUCUCUCUCUCUGUCUCUCUCUCUCUCUCUGUCUCUCUCUCUCUGUCUCUCUCUCUCUCUCUCUCUCUCUCUGUCUCUCUCUCUCUCUCUGUCUCUCUCUCUCUCUCUCUCUGUCUCUCUCUCUCUCUUUCUCUCUCUCUCUGUCUCUCUCUCUCUCUGUCUCUCUCUCUCUCUCUCUCUCUGUCUCUCUCUCUCUGUCUCUCUCUCUCUCUGUCUCUCUCUCUCUCUCUCUAUCUAUCUCUCUCUCUGUCUCUCUCUCUCUCCCUGUC
Labrus mixtus (cuckoo wrasse) is the source of this 1716-nucleotide RNA transcript. It is a transcript of the gene named mediator of cell motility 1, with no coding region annotated. NCBI's taxonomy places the organism in Eukaryota, Metazoa, Chordata, Actinopteri, Labriformes, Labridae. The record is from RefSeq and is a predicted model, not a curated record. The transcript is spliced from 10 exons.